CUACGGGUUGCUCCAGUAGGGAAUCUUAGACAAUGGGGGAAACCCUGAUCUAGCCAUGCCGCGUGAGUGAUGAAGGCCUUAGGGUUGUAAAGCUCUUUCGCUGGGGAAGAUAAUGACGGUACCCAGUAAAGAAACCCCGGCUAACUCCGUGCCAGCAGCCGCGGUAAUACGGAGGGGGUUAGCGUUGUUCGAAAUUACUGGGCGUAAAGCGCGCGUAGGCGGGCUAUUAAGUCAGGGGUGAAAUCCCGGGGCUCAACCCCGGAACUGCCUUUGAUACUGGUAGUCUUGAGUUCGAGAGAGGUGAGUGGAAUUCCGAGUGUAGAGGUGAAAUUCGUAGAUAUUCGGAGGAACAUCAGUGGCGAAGGCGACUCACUGGCUCGAUACUGACGCUGAGGUGCGAAGGUGUGGGGAGCAAACAGGAUUAGAUACCCCUGUAGUC
This 439-nucleotide ribosomal RNA is filed under the name uncultured bacterium. RNAcentral describes it as "partial 16S ribosomal RNA". It matches the Rfam family "Bacterial small subunit ribosomal RNA", at positions 339 to 795 of the family's 1533-position model. The record is from RNAcentral.